Molecule: non-coding RNA, 23 nt
Filed under: Arabidopsis thaliana (thale cress)
Lineage: Eukaryota; Viridiplantae; Streptophyta; Magnoliopsida; Brassicales; Brassicaceae
Source: RNAcentral
CUUGUCGCUCUGCAAUUCUUCCA